ACAAAAAGGUAACUCCCUUCGCAGCUACAAACAAAAUUUAUUUUAGAACAUUUCCAGAAUAAUGCUCAAAGGAAUAACCCAUUAAUAUAUAAAUGAAGAAAAGUUAAGUCCAAAAUAUUAAGACUCCACCGAAUAACACAAAAGAAACUAUUCAAUCUUCCACCGUCAAAGUUGCGAAUCUUUUUUACUAGGAAAAUGCUUAUUAUAAUAUAAUUCAAUUCAAUGAGGUUCAAUAAUUAUUUAAUUGGAGUGUUUGACUCGUUUAGAGAACACCUGCUCUUGGUACUGCAGACUA
RNAcentral lists this unclassified non-coding RNA (295 nucleotides) under Hevea brasiliensis (rubber tree). Lineage: Eukaryota; Viridiplantae; Streptophyta; Magnoliopsida; Malpighiales; Euphorbiaceae. The record is from RNAcentral.